This is a long non-coding RNA of Gadus macrocephalus (Pacific cod), 2985 nucleotides long. RefSeq lists it as uncharacterized. The transcript has 2 exons. The record is from RefSeq and is a predicted model, not a curated record. NCBI's taxonomy places the organism in Eukaryota, Metazoa, Chordata, Actinopteri, Gadiformes, Gadidae.
UUCUCUCCUCCUAUGUCAUUUCUUCCUUUAAUGUGAUCGAACUAGGGCUGCAACUAACGAUUAUUUUAAUAAUAAAAUAAUCGGUCGAUUAAUUUUUUCGAUUAAACGAUGAAUCUGAUAAAACAGGAAACAUUUGUUAUUGCCGCAACUUCAUUCAAACACUGAACAUUAUUUCAAAUUCACAGUUCAGGCUGAAGUGUUAAAACACCAGGUUAUUGCUCCAACGUCCCGGAACUAUUAAAAGUAACAUUAAAUGAUAAAAUAAAAAAACAUAACUGGGAUAACACAAAAAAAGAUACAAUGUAUGAUAUACAUUUAUAUACAGUAUAUAAGGGAAGUCCAUGGUUAACCGAUAAGAACUUUAACAGGUAAAUAAUAACGGUUAGAAAUAAAUCAAAUCAUCUUAAUUUCUCUCAGAUGACAGGAGAUCAUUAAUUUUGAUAUUGAUACCAUUUGAGGCUACUUAACGAUCCAAGUCUUUAUUGAUACCACUAUUAAUACUUUUCUAUUAUUUUGUUAUUUUGAAAUAGAACUUGUAUUAUUGCUUUAAUUGCUGCUAAGAUGAUUGUAGCUCAAGAUAGGAUGUUAAACAGGUCAUAAUUCCAUCUUUACCAUCUAUUUUAUAUUGCUGGGAAAACAAGUUUUCGCCAAAAUCUUAAAUUUCUUUUUUUUGUGUUGCAUUUGAACACAUCAAUCAUAUUACUGAGCCAACCUGAACACAUCACAUUUGACACUGUUUGCUACUUUUCUUUAAGCUAACUAGCUCUAUAUCCUGCCGAUUUGAACAUGGAUUUAAAAAGUGGAUUACUAUUAUUUUUAACUGACGGGUUGUCCGGUUGUGUGAUUACUACCGCUGCUUUGAAUGACUGUUGAUGUACGCAGUGCCGACUCCGAGCCCGUCUGCACACCGUCUGUAGCAGCAGCAGCUGACUUGUUUUUGGUUGGACUAGACGGAUACUGAGUUGAAGGAGUUUUUUUAACCCAAAGACAGUGAAGGUACAACACUUUUAUAUAGGCCUACAGUCCAGUUUUAAGAUAUGACCAAAAUACAAGCUGUGGUCGCUCACACUAAAGCUCGCUGUGGGCAUGCAUGAACCAUGAACCCCACCUGUUGGCGGCUGGCUGUAAACAGUGCCUUGCCUACGAGAGACGUAUUAAUCGCGCGACUCAACAAAUCGAUGACUAAAACGCUUUUAGUAAUCGAUUUUUAUCGAUUUUAUCGAUUCGUUGUUGCAGCCCUAGAUCGAACAACAUUAUAUUAUUUUUACUAUUACAUUUAAUUAGGGGUGUAACGGUACACGUAUUUGUACCGAACCGUCACGGUACAGGCACUUCGGUGCGGUUACAGAGGUGUACCGCGGUACGUAAAUGUGGCGUACAUAGCGUUAAUAUGGCGAAUGUAAAGGCAUGUUUUGCGAUGCGGUAUUUAAAACUUGAAGUCGGAGUUCCACCCGGACCGUUUAGCCAAAGUAUACUACUCUGACUCUAGUCCGACUCCAUAACUACGGAGACCUCUCAGCAGCUCUCCGUUGGGAUGUCGGAUACGCAAUGCAAUUCGCCGCCCGAUCUAUCUUAUAUGUUGACUACAAUCCAUGUAAGCAGUGUAAAUAAACUUCCAAAGCUUAUCAAAUCUUAUUUGGUGUUUUAUUGGCCCUUAAGGUACAAAGUAAACAAUGUACAAAGUAAUUAAGGUGCAAAGUCAAACCGGAGUCGUGAUUCCGGAAAUGAAUUUGUUAGAGGACCAAUCACAGCCUUUGCCGUCUCUUUAUAAAUAUUGGAUGCUCUCCGGCUAUGGAGAGGGCUCUCCGUGUCUACGUACAGCACUUUAACAUGCACACCCUAUGGGCAACGAUCGUCGAAUAGUCGGAGUCACGUAGAAUAUCGUAUAAUGAAUAUGACUACUGCUUGAGCUGCUCCCCCCGCGAUCCGACCCCGGAUAAGCGGUUGACGAUGAGGAUGAGGAAUAUGACUAUCGUUAUUUAUUACACGGCUCUUCUCAAUGCUGUUGAACGCUCCGUUGACUUGCAUGAGCCUUCACAACUUCCGGUGGUGAAUAGCGUCCUCGGUUGCUAAGCGACGUCAACGUCUUUGGCAGACUAUUUCUCUGCUGAUCAACACUACGAAUGCUGGUAACAAAUAAAUUGUAAAAAGACACACCGUGUGAAGUUACUUUUUUGACGUGUAUAGGUCACCGUCAUGCAAGCUGUUCAGUAAAAUAAAUAAAUAAAUAGCGAUCCGUUUUCGGCACAUGUAGGUCUAUCUGCCAAAGCCCACGUUGAAAUAAUUUUGAUGUUGAAUGUUGAUGGCGCAGUUGUUGAAAUAAACAGAUUGAUUUAAAAAAAAUCAUAAAAGCCUCUCCCUGUGUCAUUGUGUGUGCGUGUAUCGGAAGUGCGUGCGUGGGGGGUUCUUGAUUGAAUAUUAUUCGAAUACUUCUCAGCGAAUAUCGAAUAGUAUUUUUGCCAGAAAUGCACAUCCCUAGCACACGCAUUUGUAAAGGCACCAUCCAGGUGUUACUAUCACUGUUACUGUGGAAAAAAAACGAACUGUGCAAACCCAGCUCACGACACUAUUUCAACAACCCCUGUCUGGGAAUUCAGAAAUGAAAAUGCCAUAACCAAGUUUAUUGGUGUUUUCAUUGCUGCUGAUCUACGGCCAUUCUCCGUUGUUGACAAACAAGCAUUUUUUUUUAAUUUUCCCCUUAACUAUGAACCCGCAACUAUGUUGCCCAUUGUUAGGAGAACAGCCAGGCCCAUUACACUCAAUUGUAGGGGAAAAGUAAAAAAGGACCAAUUGGUCUGAAUAAAAGUCUUGUCAGAGGCACAACUCGGGAAACAACACAACCAGGCAUGGAAUUACCUGUUUGCAGUCCACCUCGAUGUCUGCAAUGUAGUUCUCAAACACUGUGGGGACGUAGACCUCAGGGAACUGGUCCUUACUGAAGACGAUGAGCAGACAGGUCUUACCACACGCUCCGUCCCCCACAAU